GACGAACGCUGGCGGCGUGCCUAAUACAUGCAAGUAGAACGCUGAAGCGAGGAGCUUACUCUUCUUGGAUGAGUUGCGAACGGGUGAGUAACGCGUAGGUAACCUGCCUUGUAGCGGGGGAUAACUAUUGGAAACGAUAGCUAAUACCGCAUAACAAUGGAUGACACAUGUCAUUUAUUUGAAAGGGGCAAUUGCUCCACUACAAGAUGGACCUGCGUUGUAUUAGCUAGUAGGUGAGGUAAUGGCUCACCUAGGCGACGAUACAUAGCCGACCUGAGAGGGUGAGCGGCCACACUGGGACUGAGACACGGCCCAGACUCCUACGGGAGGCAGCAGUAGGGAAUCUUCGGCAAUGGGGGCAACCCUGACCGAGCAACGCCGCGUGAGUGAAGAAGGUUUUCGGAUCGUAAAGCUCUGUUGUAAGUCAAGAACGGGUGUGAGAGUGGAAAGUUCACACUGUGACGGUAGCUUACCAGAAAGGGACGGCUAACUACGUG
Molecule: ribosomal RNA, 497 nt
Filed under: uncultured bacterium
Lineage: Bacteria
Description: partial 16S ribosomal RNA
Rfam family: Bacterial small subunit ribosomal RNA
Source: RNAcentral